UGAAGUCAUCGUCGGAAAGUGGACAGAACCACGGCAAACAAACGAGAGACGGGUAAACAAGCGCACCUGUUCGCCCCUUGAGCGACAGGGGACUGAUGGUCCCCGAGGAUCGAGCGAGCUGGAAAACAAACAACUGAUUCAUUCUCUCUGCAAAGAGAGGAACGGCGAGCUACCUCGCAGCUAUGAAGUGAUCCAGCAACAAGAAAACAUUAAGCCCUGGCCUGCGAUACUCUGAAGCAAUACCCGGAGAGGACAUCACAAGAAUCAACAAGGCUAAAGAAUCAGAUGUGCUUUCAUCUCCUUUCCACAUGAACAAUCUGUGAGCAGAGGCAAUUUGGGAGAAGGGCGCACUGCAGGCGGUGGGCUCUGUGUUUGGACGUCUACUUCCACAGCUCUCAGCUUUCACUCAUGCUCGGCUUACGGCCCAACUCGGCAGGGCUCCACUCUGGACUAGACUCAGGCCUUGUAGUAAAGGCAUAUUGUGGCAUCUCUCAAACACUGACACUUAGCAAAAGCUCAUGUACGAUAGCAAAAACAUUAAGAAAGUAAAAUUGCAUGGUCAAUCUCUUGAACAAAAUCUUAAGCCCUCUCAUUCAGAUGCUUCUUUCUCAUGUGAGUUGCUGGCAGAAAUGUGCAUAUAUCUUCAAUUUCUUGGAUAAAAUCUUAACUCUCCACAUUCAGAUGCUUCCUUCUCAUGUGAGUCGCUGGCACCGUUGCGCCUGCUGACGUCAAGGAGGAGUAUCGCUACAUAUCCUGAGUCUAAGGCGUAGCCCACAAUACAAACUUUAAAAAGCCACUCAUAAUAGUAACCAUCCUGGUCAAUAUCACCAGAACAAAAUGCAUGCUGUCAAAAGUUAUUUUUGUUAAUAUUUUGAGGCGUCUGGAACGGAUUGAUUUUAUUCACAUUAUCUUCAAUGGGAACGGUUGUUUUGGAUUUCAUGUAUUUUAGUCAGACAUUCUGGAACGGAUUGGUUUUAUUCACAUUAUCUUCUAUAGGAACAGUUGUUUUGGAUUUUAUAUAUUAUAGUCAGACAUUCUGGGACGGAUCCACUGUACUCAUAAACAUUGGCACGCAAAUGCUGCAUCACUAUCGAGUCAAAUAAUAAAAAAAAUAAUAUAAAAACAGUUCUUUCUUGUUAUAAUUGAUAAGUAAGUCAUACUGAAUGAGAAGCCAAUUAAAAAGAUCCUAAAGCAACAAUGCAAAAAUAAUACAGGCAUAUUACAGAUCAUUUUGAAGAAGAAAGAUCUGGCUUGUGGUUUACAGCUCUUUUUCAUUAUCGGAAAAAGUAAUGAAAAUCAGCAAGCUCACUUAGGCAUAAUCCUGCUGACACAGACUAACACAGAAAUCUAAUUAGACGGAGCAGAUGCAAUAUAGUUAUCAUGCUGAUAGAUGAGUUGACGGUGAAGAAAAAAAACAAUUAAAGAAUAAACAUGUCUUUUUCUCGACAUUAUCAACCUCAGUUUAUUUGUCAGUUCAUUGGGGAGCCAUUCAUGAUUUGUAUUGUGCUUAAAACACAAAGAAUUGAAUGGAAAAUAACUGCAAAAAAUUGCUUUUUGAGUGCCAGCAAUAAGGGAAUUGUGGUUGGACAAUGUCAUGCAUUGCUGCCACAAACAAUGUUGUUGGGGGAGAAAGAUGCUCUAGUAAUACUUUAGUUGUUAGAGAGUGCAAUUUUCAAAGAGGAAAGUUGAGAAAAAAGGAAAUACAUACAGUGCAGAAACUUUUAGAUCUCAUAAUAAUACAGUAUUAGUCAGUGUGGUAUGGCACGGUAUGUAUCUUCAAAAUAAUCAUACUCAAGAUAAAUGUCAGAAUAUGCACCUGCCAUAGUGCUUCCCACUUUGCUGAACUGCAACUUUAUGAACUUGCUUUCCCCCCACCCAGUGUUAGCUAACCUCCAGAACUACUAUGUUGACAGCAAGCAGCUUUAUCAUUCAGCUAUGCAAUCUCUGCAGGUUGUAAGCACAUUAACAAUGCAUGAGUAACUGUAUCUUUAAAAAUACAUAAAAACACGCAAACAUUUGCAAAAUGCUGACCGAGCGCUUUCACUUUCCUCGCAACCGCACAACAAUGCGACAAUGCAUAUGCCUGCGUGGAGAUAAAUAGACGACAUGACUCGAUCUUGCAGGAACAGAUGUGAUUGAGGCAUCCUUUGAGUCCCAAUAAAUUAAAAAAAAAUAAUAAUAAUCUUGCCCUCAUCGGUUUGAAUGGCAAGCAACACACCUGGACGUAUUUUGCUUUCACUUUAGUUGAUGAGCACAGCGCCCUGGGGAGAGGGAUAAAUAAUCCUCUUUAACCACAGCACGGCACGUUAAGAGAGAAGAUUAAACCAAAGAUGUCUUUGUGUGGGUGCUUAAAAGAGAUGUACGUAUUUCGGGGGACUACUAAACAUCCAUCCAUCAACCAUUAUGCGCAUGAAUUAAAACAUCCCGGGUUGAAUGGAAGCCAUUUAAUGUGUGUAUAAAAAUGGCUGGAUAUGAACUGAUGAAAAAUGUACUGCAUGUUACAGACUGUAAUCACUUUUAUUCACUCAACAUCAAACUAUAUAAAACUGUGCAUCUCUGUUA
Molecule: long non-coding RNA, 2562 nt
Organism: Syngnathus typhle (broad-nosed pipefish)
Lineage: Eukaryota; Metazoa; Chordata; Actinopteri; Syngnathiformes; Syngnathidae
Exons: 2
Source: RefSeq, a predicted model, not a curated record